Molecule: long non-coding RNA, 532 nt
Filed under: Marmota monax (woodchuck)
Lineage: Eukaryota; Metazoa; Chordata; Mammalia; Rodentia; Sciuridae
Source: RNAcentral
CUCAGCAAAAGAAACAAUCUGUGAGGUGAAUAGGGAGCCUACAUCCUGGGAGCAAAUUUUUACCCCUCACACAUCAGAUAGAGCACUAAUCUCUAGGGAAUAUAAAGAACUCAAGAAGCUAAGCACCAAAAAGACAAAUAACUCAAUCAAUAAAUGGGCCAAGGACCUGAAUAGACACUUCUCAGAAGAGGAUACACAAUCAAUCAACAAAUAUAUGAGAAAAUGCUCAUCAUCUCUAGCAAUCAGAGAAAUGCAAAUCAAAACUAGACUGGGAAUUGAUUACAUGUUUCAAUGAAUCAACAGUUGGGGAUGUCUGCCUUGCUUGAGAGUGAAGUCUGCUCAGACCUGCCCUUUUCAUUAAGCCUUACCUCAAGAAGGCUGGUUGGAAACUCUAGGUGUUGUUAUUACUUUUUAAUUCACAAAACUAGAGAACAGACUCAUUAAUUUCAAAAACUAUAUCCACAAUGUAAACUAAACAUUAGCAAAUGUUUCUGAUAGUGGAAAGACACUGCUUCAGCCACACCAAGCUGUG